CAGCAGCCGCGGUAAUACGAGGGGGGCAAGCGUUGUUCGGAUUUAUUGGGCGUAAAGGGUGCGUAGGCGGUUUGGCAAGUCUUGUGUGAAAUCUUCGGGCUCAACCCGAAGCCUGCACGAGAAACUACCGGGCUUGAGUAUUGGAGAGGUGAGUGGAAUUUCCGGUGUAGCGGUGAAAUGCGUAGAUAUCGGAAGGAACACCUGUGGCGAAAGCGGCUCACUGGACAAUAACUGACGCUGAUGCACGAAAGCUAGGGGAGCAAACAGGAUUAGAUACCCCCGUAGUCCCUGUCUCUUAUAC
Molecule: ribosomal RNA, 301 nt
Filed under: uncultured bacterium
Lineage: Bacteria
Description: partial 16S ribosomal RNA
Rfam family: Bacterial small subunit ribosomal RNA
Source: RNAcentral